RNAcentral lists this ribosomal RNA (492 nucleotides) under uncultured Alphaproteobacteria bacterium. RNAcentral describes it as "bacterial SSU rRNA". It matches the Rfam family "Bacterial small subunit ribosomal RNA", at positions 38 to 574 of the family's 1533-position model. The record is from RNAcentral. Lineage: Bacteria; Pseudomonadati; Pseudomonadota; Alphaproteobacteria.
GGCGGCAGGCCUAACACAUGCAAGUCGAGCGGGCAUCGCAAGAUGUCAGCGGCAGACGGGAGAGUAACACGUGGGAACGUACCCUUCAGUUCGGAAUAACCCAGGGAAACUUGGACUAAUACCGAAUACGUCCGUAAGGAGAAAGAUUUAUCGCUGAAGGAUCGGCCCGCGUCCGAUUAGCUAGUUGGUGGGGUAAUGGCCCACCAAGGCGACGAUCGGUAGCUGGUCUGAGAGGAUGAUCAGCCUCACUGGGACUGAGACACGGCCCAGACUCCUACGGGAGGCAGCAGUGGGGAAUAUUGGGCAAUGGGCGCAAGCCUGAUCCAGCCAUGCCGCGUGGGUGAUGAAGGCCCUAGGGUUGUAAAGCCCUUUCGGCGGGGAAGAUAAUGACGGUACCCGCAGAAGAAGCCCCGGCUAACUUCGUGCCAGCAGCCGCGGUAAUACGAAGGGGGCUAGCGUUGCUCGGAAUCACUGGGCGUAAAGCGCACGUAG